AUGACUAUAGCCCUUGGUAGAAUUCCUAAAGAAGAAAAUGAUCUAUUUGAUACUAUGGAUGACUGGUUACGAAGGGACCGUUUCGUUUUUGUAGGAUGGUCUGGCCUAUUGCUCUUUCCUUGUGCUUAUUUCGCUUUAGGGGGUUGGUUUACAGGGACAACUUUUGUAACUUCUUGGUAUACCCAUGGAUUGGCUAGUUCCUAUUUGGAAGCUUGUAAUUUCUUAACCGCAGCAGUUUCUACCCCUGCCAAUAGUUUAGCACACUCUUUGUUGCUACUAUGGGGGCCCGAAGCACAAGGAGAUUUUACUCGUUGGUGUCAAUUAGGCGGUCUAUGGACUUUUGUAGCUCUCCACGGGGCUUUUGCACUAAUAGGUUUCAUGUUACGCCAAUUUGAACUUGCUCGGCCUGUUCAAUUGCGGCCUUAUAAUGCAAUCUCAUUCUCUGGUCCAAUUGUUGUUUUUGUUUCUGUAUUCCUUAUUUAUCCACUGGGGCAAUCUGGUUGGUUCUUUGCGCCGAGUUUUGGCGUAGCAGCGAUAUUUCGAUUCAUCCUUUUCUUCCAAGGAUUUCAUAAUUGGACGUUGAACCCAUUUCAUAUGAUGGGAGUUGCCGGAGUAUUAGGUGCGGCUCUGCUAUGCGCUAUUCAUGGAGCGACCGUAGAAAACACUCUAUUUGAGGACGGUGAUGGUGCAAAUACCUUCCGUGCUUUUAACCCAACUCAAGCUGAAGAAACUUAUUCCAUGGUCACUGCUAACCGCUUUUGGUCCCAAAUCUUUGGUGUCGCUUUUUCCAAUAAACGUUGGUUACAUUUCUUUAUGCUAUUUGUACCCGUCACCGGUUUAUGGAUGAGUGCUAUUGGCGUAGUUGGCUUGGCUCUGAACUUAUGUGCCUAUGACUUUGUUUCCCAGGAAAUCCGUGCAGCGUUAGAUCCUGAAUUUGAGACUUUCUACACCAAAAAUAUUCUUUUAAACGAGGGUAUUCGUGCGUGGAUGGCAGCUCAGGAUCAGCCUCAUGAAAAUCUUAUAUUCCCUGAGGAGGUUCUACCACGUGGAAACGCUCUUUAA
This 1062-nucleotide ribosomal RNA is filed under the name Triticum aestivum (bread wheat). Its description in RNAcentral is "partial small subunit ribosomal RNA". The record is from RNAcentral. Lineage: Eukaryota; Viridiplantae; Streptophyta; Magnoliopsida; Poales; Poaceae.